Ornithodoros turicata is the source of this 207-nucleotide long non-coding RNA. RefSeq lists it as uncharacterized. The transcript has 3 exons. The record is from RefSeq and is a predicted model, not a curated record. NCBI's taxonomy places the organism in Eukaryota, Metazoa, Arthropoda, Arachnida, Ixodida, Argasidae.
GUUUUGAAACGUUGAAGUGUGAGGACGUCGGCCGCGGAUCUCAAGUAAUUUGCGUUUUGUCUUCGGGAUUGUAACUGUUUUUGAGGCUUUUACUACUGUUCGCAGACACGCAUUAUGAGCGCCGAUAGGAAGAUUACCAACCACGUAACGUUACCAACGGCGCUGGGUGCCAAACGAUGAAUCUCGUACGAAGUGACAGGUGGUGAG